Molecule: long non-coding RNA, 577 nt
Organism: Cyprinus carpio carpio
Lineage: Eukaryota; Metazoa; Chordata; Actinopteri; Cypriniformes; Cyprinidae
Source: Ensembl
CUUAUAGACAGCAAAACUGAUGACAGAUACUGAUGUAUCAAAACUAAGCAAUUUGUUUUUAAAUAACUAAUAAAAUAUUUCUUCAAAAAAAAUUGCAUUAUCAUCACAAAAACAUUAUAUACUUUAAUUCUUCAUAUGUUGUUCUUGUAUUUGUAUCCUGUGGUGAAAUAAUGUUCUUUGUUUUUGUUGAUGAAAGUCUUUAUGUGAAAAUGUCUCUGAGGGGCCAUCAGGGGCCUCCUAAACUGGAGCGACUGGAGUCAGUCAUGAGCAAGGUCUCUGGCAGCUUGGACCCAGAGGAACUGGACUUAAGUGGCCAUACUGACCUCUGUGGAGAACCAAAGAACAUAUCCUUUCAAGCAAUAUACAGCUUUCUUCCAUUCAAGUCCCUGGACAGUGUCAAAUUUCUCUAAGAAGUGCCAAUCCUAGUACAAGUGACAGAAGUGGAGCGAUUCACAUCUACAAGGGUAAUAAAAAUGAAAGCACUGCAAGUGAAUCACUUGCACCUUUCUUGGUAAUACUUUAUAGUAGCUUUUACCUGUAAAUUAUUAACAACUAUUAACAAUAUUAUAUAUUGCUU